Molecule: ribosomal RNA, 589 nt
Filed under: Fusarium verticillioides
Lineage: Eukaryota; Fungi; Ascomycota; Sordariomycetes; Hypocreales; Nectriaceae
Also listed under: 4 other names
Description: eukaryotic LSU rRNA
Rfam family: Eukaryotic large subunit ribosomal RNA
Source: RNAcentral
UUGACCUCGGAUCAGGUAGGAAUACCCGCUGAACUUAAGCAUAUCAAUAAGCGGAGGAAAAGAAACCAACAGGGAUUGCCCUAGUAACGGCGAGUGAAGCGGCAACAGCUCAAAUUUGAAAUCUGGCUCUCGGGCCCGAGUUGUAAUUUGUAGAGGAUACUUUUGAUGCGGUGCCUUCCGAGUUCCCUGGAACGGGACGCCAUAGAGGGUGAGAGCCCCGUCUGGUUGGAUGCCAAAUCUCUGUAAAGUUCCUUCGACGAGUCGAGUAGUUUGGGAAUGCUGCUCUAAAUGGGAGGUAUAUGUCUUCUAAAGCUAAAUACCGGCCAGAGACCGAUAGCGCACAAGUAGAGUGAUCGAAAGAUGAAAAGCACUUUGAAAAGAGAGUUAAAAAGUACGUGAAAUUGUUGAAAGGGAAGCGUUUAUGACCAGACUUGGGCUUGGUUAAUCAUCUGGGGUUCUCCCCAGUGCACUUUUCCAGUCCAGGCCAGCAUCAGUUUUCGCCGGGGGAUAAAGACUUCGGGAAUGUGGCUCUCUUCGGGGAGUGUUAUAGCCCGUUGUGUAAUACCCUGGCGGGGACUGAGGUUCGCGC